Molecule: ribosomal RNA, 158 nt
Rfam family: 5.8S ribosomal RNA
About the family: 5.8S ribosomal RNA (5.8S rRNA) is a component of the large subunit of the eukaryotic ribosome. It is transcribed by RNA polymerase I as part of the 45S precursor that also contains 18S and 28S rRNA.
CAACUUUCAGCAACGGAUCUCUUGGCUCUCGCAUCGAUGAAGAACGCAGCGAAAUGCGAUAAGUAAUGUGAAUUGCAGAAUUCAGUGAAUCAUCGAAUCUUUGAACGCACCUUGCGCUCCUUGGUAUUCCGAGGAGCACACCUGUUUGAGUGUCAUGA